RNAcentral lists this ribosomal RNA (585 nucleotides) under uncultured Pseudomonas sp. Its description in RNAcentral is "bacterial SSU rRNA". It matches the Rfam family "Bacterial small subunit ribosomal RNA", at positions 102 to 683 of the family's 1533-position model. The record is from RNAcentral. Lineage: Bacteria; Pseudomonadati; Pseudomonadota; Gammaproteobacteria; Pseudomonadales; Pseudomonadaceae.
ACGGGUGAGUAAUGCCUAGGAAUCUGCCUGGUAGUGGGGGACAACGUCUCGAAAGGGACGCUAAUACCGCAUACGUCCUACGGGAGAAAGUGGGGGAUCUUCGGACCUCACGCUAUCAGAUGAGCCUAGGUCGGAUUAGCUAGUUGGUGAGGUAAUGGCUCACCAAGGCGACGAUCCGUAACUGGUCUGAGAGGAUGAUCAGUCACACUGGAACUGAGACACGGUCCAGACUCCUACGGGAGGCAGCAGUGGGGAAUAUUGGACGAUGGGCGAAAGCCUGAUCCAGCCAUGCCGCGUGUGUGAAGAAGGUCUUCGGAUUGUAAAGCACUUUAAGUUGGGAGGAAGGGUUGUAGAUUAAUACUCUGCAAUUUUGACGUUACCGACAGAAUAAGCACCGGCUAACUCUGUGCCAGCAGCCGCGGUAAUACAGAGGGUGCAAGCGUUAAUCGGAAUUACUGGGCGUAAAGCGCGCGUAGGUGGUUUGUUAAGUUGAAUGUGAAAUCCCCGGGCUCAACCUGGGAACUGCAUCCAAAACUGGCAAGCUAGAGUAGGGCAGAGGGUGGUGGAAUUUCCUGUGUAGCGGUG